RNAcentral lists this ribosomal RNA (253 nucleotides) under uncultured bacterium. RNAcentral's name for it is "partial 16S ribosomal RNA". It matches the Rfam family "Bacterial small subunit ribosomal RNA", at positions 524 to 776 of the family's 1533-position model. The record is from RNAcentral.
UACGGGGGGAGCAAGCGUUGUUCGGAUUUACUGGGCGUAAAGGGCGCGUAGGCGGCGUGGUAAGUCACUUGUGAAAUCUCCGGGCUUAACUCGGAACGGUCAAGUGAUACUGCUGCGCUAGAGUGCGGAAGGGGCAACUGGAAUUCUCGGUGUAGCGGUGAAAUGCGUAGAUAUUGGGAGGAACACCAGUGGCGAAGGCGGCUCACUGGACCGGAACUGACGCUGAGGCGCGAAAGCGUGGGGAGCAAACGGG